UCCCUGGUGGCUCAGCUGGUAAAGAAUCUGCCUGCAAUGCAGGAGACCUGGGUUCGAUCCCAGGUUGGGAA
Ovis aries (sheep) is the source of this 71-nucleotide transfer RNA. It matches the Rfam family "tRNA". Rfam says of the family: Transfer RNA (tRNA) molecules are approximately 80 nucleotides in length. Lineage: Eukaryota; Metazoa; Chordata; Mammalia; Artiodactyla; Bovidae. The record is from Rfam.